GGGAUCAUAGCUCAGCUGGGAGAGCAUCUGCCUUACAAGCAGAGGGUCAUAGGUUCGAGUCCUAUUGGUCCCACUA
RNAcentral lists this transfer RNA (76 nucleotides) under Anaerostipes hadrus. Its description in RNAcentral is "tRNA-Val". It matches the Rfam family "tRNA". Rfam says of the family: Transfer RNA (tRNA) molecules are approximately 80 nucleotides in length. Their secondary structure includes four short double-helical elements and three loops (D, anti-codon, and T loops). Lineage: Bacteria; Bacillati; Bacillota; Clostridia; Lachnospirales; Lachnospiraceae. RNAcentral also lists the same sequence under 12 other names. The record is from RNAcentral.